CUAUCCCCCAUUCUCUCAAACCUGCCUUCUUUGGCUUCUCUCGUCUCUCUCAAAGGCUCUCAACCUCUGAAACCUUAAUGGCCGCUACCCCUUCUUCAACCUCAAAUUAGCGGAAUCCAUGGCUACUCUCGCCAUGGACGACCUCUAGCCACCAUCUGCUGUUCCCACACGCCUGCCUCUUGAAGAUUCAAGGCCAGUCCUCGAAAGGCUUCACCAGAACUGGGUUGAUUUGAGAUUCUUCUAGCCGUUUCGGGCUUUUCUCCAGCGUAUCUUCGCCUGCUAAGCUUGGAUUCGACCUUAUCAAUCCAGAUCCGCUCUCGUGACUUCCAAGCCUUUUUCGACCUUUAGGGUUCUUAGAGACCCUAGCCUAUUCGUGGUUCCUUUUUAUUUUAUUCUUUCAGAUAUGUGCUAGAUCUAUGCUUUUUGUGAUGCUUUAGAGCUUUUUCCCAAUUUUUCUUUUUCAAAAAUGUUCGAAUCUGAUUUAAGGUUUCAUGAAAAACUUUUCUUUAAAGGUUUUCUGAUUCUUUUUUCUCUCUUACGUAUGCUUAUGCUUGUUUGUUUAUUUCUUAAGUUUGUUCUCUCUGUUCUUUGUUCACUUUCCAGUCUAGGUUUGAUUCUCAUUCUUUGCUAUAUAUGUUCAAGCUUAUGCUUUAAUUUUGGUUCUGAGUUCUAUUGAAAAUCUUAAUUUUUGUAUUCUUGCUUGUGUAUGUCUACCUAUCUAUGUGGUUUCAAAUGGCUUCUCAUCUCUGAUUUUAGGAGAAUCCCUAAAUUGUAGGGGGUUUUCCUUCGAGUAAAGGGCAUUAAGGUUUCACUUUAAAACCCUACGUUUACAUGUUCACGACGAACCUGUAAUCAAAGUCGAAGUCCUACUUGUCUUUGGCUCUAAGAUUUCUCAUUGUAAGGCUCUUCUUUGUUUGUACUGUAUGCUUUAUAUAUAAACCUCCCUUUCAAAGAUUUAUUUUUGAAAUCCCUUUAAUCAGACUAGGUGAUUUGCCACUUAUUGAAUCUCUUUUACCUUACUGAUAUUUUCUUUAAAUAACUGAUCUUGUAUCCUCUGUGAUUUUGUACCAACGUCUGAAUUAUUUAUUUCCUUAAUUACUUUAGGCUUUGUGAUUCUGAAGAUCCUUUGACUGAUUUUCAAAAUUAUACUUUAUUUUUCACACUAUUGUACCCCCUUUCCUUAAAUACCAAUUCUAUAUAUGACCUUAUUUAUGCACUAUGUGGGUUCUUUACCUUAAUAAGCCUAAGUAAACUUAUUCUUUCUUCCUUAUUCUAGCAUGACUAGUCGUUUGAACUAGACCCCUUGAUCAAAGGAGUCUGGUUAUUCUUAAUUGACACUGGUUGAUUAAAGUUUCUAUAUUUGGGCACUAUUUGCCUGCCUCACUGAUUUUAAAAACCUAUAUAAAGGGGUUAGCCCUCCCCUUUUCUACAACCAGUAACAGACAGAAAAAACACAAGACAAUCAGUCGAGAACAACUUCUCUCUCUUUCUCACAAACACACAGACUAGUUUUGUGCACUACUUCUCUUUUCUUUCUCAAAUACUUUAAGCUUUCUCAAAACCUUCUAGUGUUCUGCUGAAAUCAUGAGUUUAUUUACUCUGUGCUGUGGCUGCAAGUGCUCUAUUUAUCUUUUUCUAUUACUUUGCAACUGGUAUGUCUAUUCUAUUUUGAAUACUACUCUCCUCCUAUGUGUUAUAUAUUUCAGUCAUGUUUGUACUUCCUGUCUACUGCUUUCUACAAUGCUAUCACUCUUAUCCUUAUGUGAAUCCCUUUAUCCCUUACCCCUUUAUGUGUGAGUUAUGGUUCAAGAAAUGACAACACUUUAAUAUUAUUGUCCAUGAUUCUUGACUGGAUUCUUUGAAUCCCAACUCAAUCAGUUUCGCAUUCCCUUCCCUUUUUAUGUGUGUUUGAGCCUUAGACUUAAGUAUGGCAGUGUCCUAAUCAUUGUCCAGACCCUGGUCUGACCUUCAAGGGUUUGCUUUUAGUGCGUUUAACCAAGCAGAUGGUCAGGGGUGUGCCAACCUAUUUUGUGGCUGGGUAUGACCACCACCUGUCAUGGAUCCCCAAUUUCCCUUUUGCACUUGUUCGUAGCUAUUAAGUUCUGUCCCUCUCUUGCAAGCUAUGCUUUGGGACCCUUGAGUUCCCUCUGAACUUGGAUGCUUCAGAGCUGGCUCUUCCAUACUGCACUGUUUCUAAUUCUAAUGGCAUCGUUGGUGUAAGCAAUGCCGGGAAUCUCUGAGAUUUCUUGGAACUUUGAAACACCUUGGAUAAAGAGAAGGCUUUGGAAAUUUGGACCCUGAAAAUGGUUCAAUCGCAUGUUAUUAGACAUUAAUGUUGAAUUAGACUUCUCGGAUCUAGCUGUUAGCUUUUUAUGUACGUUUCUAUAUUUUCUGAGUUGUAAUAACUUGUAUAAACUCGGGGAAUAUAGUGAAAAUGUGUGGGAGAGGCCUUUACUUUCCUGCAUUAAAAGGGUAGAAAUCAUGAUCUUAGGACUUUGUUGUUUAAUCACCUAGAAAUCCUGCCUAUAGGAACAUUUACUAUUAUUUAAUCACAUAGAAAUCAUGCCUAUAGGACUUAACGCUUAACUUUCUAGAUAUCAUGCCUAUAGGGAUCUGCGUUCUUUAUAACAUUAAGUUAAAUUUUAGGAUCUGUCCACAAGUUUAUCA
RNAcentral lists this long non-coding RNA (2667 nucleotides) under Nicotiana benthamiana. Its description in RNAcentral is "long non-coding RNA (NBEN_LNC021449)". The record is from RNAcentral. Lineage: Eukaryota; Viridiplantae; Streptophyta; Magnoliopsida; Solanales; Solanaceae.